Molecule: ribosomal RNA, 449 nt
Filed under: uncultured bacterium
Lineage: Bacteria
Description: SSU rRNA
Rfam family: Bacterial small subunit ribosomal RNA
Source: RNAcentral
AGAGCGAACGCUGGCGGCAGGCCUAACACAUGCAAGUCGAGCGCCCGUAGCAAUACGGGAGCGGCAGACGGGAUAGUAACACGUGGGAACGCGCCCUUCGGUUCGGAAUAACUCAGGGAAACUUGAGCUAAUACCGGAUACGCCCUUACGGGGAAAGAUUUAUUGCCGAAGGAACGGCCCGCGUCCGAUUAGCUAGUUGGUGAGGUAAUGGCUCACCAAGGCGACGAUCGGUAGCUGGUCUGAGAGGAUGACCAGCAUCACUGGGACUGAGACACGGCCCAGACUCCUACGGGAGGCAGCAGUGGGGAAUAUUGGACAAUGGGCGCAAGCCUGAUCCAGCCAUGCCGCGUGGAUGAUGAAGGCCUUAGGGUUGUAAAGUCCUUUUAACGGGGAAGUAGUAAUGACGGUACCCGUAGAAUAAGCCCGGCUAACUUCGUGCCAGCAGCCGC